AGACAUUAGAUACCCGUGUAGUCCAGGGUGUAAACGCUGCCGACUUGGUGUUGGAGGCCCUUCGGGGGCAUUCAGUGCCGGAGAGAAGUUGUUAAGUCUGCUACUUGGGAGUACGUCCGCAAGGAUGAAACUUAAAGGAAUUGGCGGGGGAGCACCGCAACGGGAGGAGCGUGCGGUUUAAUUGGAUUCAACACCGUAAAACUCACCAGGGAAGACUGUUACAUGAAAGCCGAGAUGAAGACUCUGCUAGAUUUUCAG
Molecule: ribosomal RNA, 258 nt
Filed under: uncultured archaeon
Lineage: Archaea
Description: partial 16S ribosomal RNA
Rfam family: Archaeal small subunit ribosomal RNA
Source: RNAcentral